UACGGAAGGGGCAAGCGUUGUUCGGAAUCAUUGGGCGUAAAGAGCGCGUAGGCGGUCGUGUAAGUCGAACGUGAAAGCCCCCGGCUUAACUGGGGAGGGUCGUUCGAUACUGCUCGACUUGAAGGCAGGAGAGGGAAGUGGAAUUCCCGGUGUAGUGGUGAAAUGCGUAGAUAUCGGGAGGAACACCAGUGGCGAAGGCGACUUUCUGGCCUGUUCUUGACGCUGAGGCGCGAAAGCUAGGGGAGCAAACGGG
RNAcentral lists this ribosomal RNA (253 nucleotides) under uncultured bacterium. RNAcentral's name for it is "partial 16S ribosomal RNA". It matches the Rfam family "Bacterial small subunit ribosomal RNA", at positions 524 to 776 of the family's 1533-position model. The record is from RNAcentral.